This 450-nucleotide ribosomal RNA is filed under the name uncultured bacterium. Its description in RNAcentral is "partial 16S ribosomal RNA". It matches the Rfam family "Bacterial small subunit ribosomal RNA", at positions 354 to 796 of the family's 1533-position model. The record is from RNAcentral.
GUGGGGAAUUUUGGACAAUGGGCGCAAGCCUGAUCCAGCAAUGCCGCGUGCAGGAAGAAGGCCUUCGGGUUGUAAACUGCUUUUGUACGGAACGAAACGGCUCUGGUUAAUACCCGGGGCUAAUGACGGUACCGUAAGAAUAAGCACCGGCUAACUACGUGCCAGCAGCCGCGGUAAUACGUAGGGUGCAAGCGUUAAUCGGAAUUACUGGGCGUAAAGCGUGCGCAGGCGGUUUUGUAAGACAGGCGUAAAAUCCCCGGGCUCGACCUGGGAAUGGCGCUUGUGACUGCAAAGCUGGAGUGCGGCAGAGGGGGAUGGAAUUCCGCGUGUAGCAGUGAAAUGCGUAGAUAUGCGGAGGAACACCGAUGGCGAAGGCAAUCCCCUGGGCCUGCACUGACGCUCAUGCACGAAAGCGUGGGGAGCAAACAGGAUUAGAAACCCUUGUAGUCC